UGAGCGGCCAGAUGGGUGUCCUCAACUGCAUUUUACAGAAGACACAGCUGAAACCCAAUCACCUGCCCAAGGUCAAACUCUGAGAAGGUGGUGAGUCCCCGAAUCCUCGUGGGAUGUGCUGCCACCAGCAUGAGCUGCUUUAUGAAAUCGACGCACCGACACUCAGAUUCUGAGGUUCCAACUCAAAUGAGAUGGGCUCACAAAGCACAAGAUGGCCUCCCAUAUGAGAUCAGGCUGCAUGCACACAGGAAGCCAAGAAAAACUGAAGAACUGGAUGGAAAAGACAGAAUCCAUUGACCAGAGAUAGGGAGAAGUUCGCCGGGUGGAGCAAGAGAAGGGGAAGCAGAUAGCAAGCAAGACGGUAGGAGCAAGCAUAUCAGCCACAAAACACAAUGAAAUGAGAGCUAGUUUAUCCAGUUGUGAUUCCACUACGGUCCAUCACCGCCAGAGCUGAGUAGGACUCUGAAAUGGUGAGAUUUAUUCCUAAUCCCUUCUAACUUUCUCUGUAAGCCACAGCCUUCGUAUCACCCCUUGUUUGCCCAAGAAACAUCUCC
This 554-nucleotide long non-coding RNA is filed under the name Felis catus (domestic cat). RNAcentral describes it as "lncRNA (ENSFCAG00000042184.2)". Lineage: Eukaryota; Metazoa; Chordata; Mammalia; Carnivora; Felidae. The record is from RNAcentral.